AAUCAACGCUGGCGGCGUGCCUAACACAUGCAAGUCGAACGCGAAAGCCCCUUCGGGGGCAAGUAGAGUGGCGUCCGGGUGAGUAACACGUGGGUAAUCUACCUCCGGGUGGGGAAUAACUCGCCGAAAGGCGGGCUAAUACCGCAUAAUGCAGCGGCACCGAAUGGUGAUUAGUUGUUAAAGCGGGGGACCUUAGGGCCUCGCGUCUGGAGAGGAGCCUGCGGCAGAUUAGCUUGUUGGUAGGGAAUGGCCUACCAAGGCUGCGAUCUGUAGCUGGUCUGAGAGGACGGCCAGCCACACUGGCACUGACACACGGGCCAGACUCCUACGGGAGGCAGCAGUGGGGAAUUUUGGGCAAUGGGCGAAAGCCUGACCCAGCAACGCCGCGUGAAGGAGGAAAUCCUUCGGGAUGUAAAACUUCACAAGCAAGGGAAGAGCGCGCAGGGUCGAAUAAACUCUGCGUCGACGGUACCUUGCGUAAGCCACGGCUAACUACGUGCCAGCAGCCGC
RNAcentral lists this ribosomal RNA (510 nucleotides) under uncultured bacterium. RNAcentral's name for it is "bacterial SSU rRNA". It matches the Rfam family "Bacterial small subunit ribosomal RNA", at positions 32 to 518 of the family's 1533-position model. The record is from RNAcentral.